CUUUUGACCGAUUCUAAUCAUCAAUUCAAAGGGUUUCAAUCUGUAUUCGGGGCGAGGGAGAAGGAUCAAAUGACGCCGAUUACGACAGCGGCGGUGGAGCUGGUGGUAUGGCCGUCGGACAGCGGCGGUGGCGGCGAAGCUGGUUGCGACAGCGAUUACGAGCUUGGCGAGGUUCGUCGGGAUCCGCCUCCGUAUUUUCGCUCCGAUCGAUUCUCCGAUAACCUGGUCUGUCUUUGCUUCUACAUCUUAUAUAUAUGUAGAUAUAUACUAUUGUUAUCAUUUCCCUCACUUGUCUUUGCUUCUGAAGAGACUUGCUUGCAAAACCUUAACCCUAACCCUAAUUCGAGUUCUAGAUUGAGGGUGGGUUCUUUGAAUUUUGGGUCUGGUGGGUCCGUAUUGAUUGAUUGUUUGAAGAACAAAGAGGGUGGGGUUAAAGAGGAAGAGAAUCAAGAAAACAAAAAUGUUGAUGUGGGUGGUGGUGAAACUUCGUUUGGAGAAAUUGGGUUGGAAUUUGAAGGUACAGAGAGGUGGGUUUCUCAUUUAAUUGUUUUUUUUUUUUUUUUUUUUUUAAAGAAAAAUUGUUAAAAGCAUCAUUCUUUGAUCACAGUUACUUUUCCCCAAAAAUGGUUUUCUUUGCGCUGUUUGGUUGCUGAGAAAAUGUGGGAAAAGGACGAAAUAAACAUUUUUGAACCUAUGUUUUGGAGAUUUUUUUUUUUUUUGUGUGAAAAUGGGCUUUCUUCGUUCUUUAUAUUGUGGAAAAUGGUAUUGUAAAGGUCGAUUUUAUGCCUGUUUGGUUGUGGGAAAUUGUAAAAAGAUAAACAAUUAAAGUUCAUAUAUAUUUUUAUAUUUGCAUGGGAAAUUUUUUUUGUGGUUUGAGAAAGGAGAGUGGGUUUUUAAUUUGGUUUUAAUAGUUUGGUGUUAGGACUAUAGUUUUUUAAGUUGGUCUUUAGUUUGGGGCCUUCUUUCCUGCUUUGUUUGGUUGCUAAAAAAUGCAGGUAAAUGAAACCAAAUCUUAUUUUUCCAUUGUUUUGGAGUGUGCGGAAAGAUGUAGGAUCCUUUUGUGGGUUUAGUGUUUGAAAUCCAUGUUUAUCAAUUAGGUCCCCCUUCUGCAAAUACUUGGGUGGAAAUUGGAAAUUGGAGUUUUUAAUAUAUUUAUACUUCUUGUUUCCUUUUUCUUGUUUUUAUUUAUCUCUGUUUAGCCUGAGGCAAAGUGCUUUCACACACUGUUUUGCUGCUGAGAAAAAGUUGGGUAAGAAAAGAAACUAUAAUAUGCUCUACUUUCUUUUGGAUUGUUUGGAGGCAGGAACUUUUGUUCCUAAGAUAACUACUCUUGAUUAAGUUGAUGCCCUCUGUUUAUGUUGCUUAGACAACCAUUUCCAUUUUACUCUUUCUGUCCUAGGUGGAUUGGUUCUUUUAGAAUAGCAUUCGAGAACCUAAUAAUUAUGUGGUUGUUUGUGUUUUCAUUUUUACUUUUUAGUGUUAGUGUCUCAGAAUUGUUGUUGAUUUAUUUGAACUUCUUUUUUAUGUUUUUCAUGUUUUUUUAUGUUUGAAAAAUAUAUAUUUGUGUCUCCUGCAUCAUGGUGUUACUUUUCUUUAAUCUAAAUGAAAAUUAUUUCCCUUUGUGAUAUAUCUUGAUUAUUUAAGAGGGGUUUUUUGUGUGCUUUGGGAGAGAUUAUCUAUGGGUUAGUAUUUGGAAUGGAACUCAUGUGAAAAUUGUUUCUGUCCUUGAAGAAAUGGCUUUAAAUUUGGGUGUUAAAGAAUUGAAAGGUUGUAAGAUUCUAGUUCUUGUUUGCUCCUCUGUAUAUAUUGAUCUAUUUCAAGUUUUAUUUAUUUUUUGAUAAUUAAAGAUAGUAUUGUAUUGUUAUAUCAAUUUCAAGAUUUUUCUUUGGCUUUUUGCAUGACCCUAGUUUAUAAAAUGACUAAUUAUUAGAAAAUCGUUUGUUGAAGUGUGUGUAUAUAUAUAUUAAGAAGAUCAUAUAUGCAUGUGUAUUACAGCCUUUUUGCAGGAAUCUUGGUGAUUAAAUCAUUUCCUAGUGGAAAAAGGUUUCUCAUUACUUUCACAUAAGCAUGAUCAAACGCAUUUGGUGUGUUGUCUUUUUAAAGUGCAAAAUUAUAAAUGAUUAGUAGGGUCCCACUUCAUAAUUGGAGCAGUGGUUCAGAGAUGAAAAAUAAUGUGCUCUGAAGCCAUGACUACCAAAGUUAAAGCUUUCAGCUUUUAGUUAUUGGCAGCUUGCUAUUGGCAGACCGAAACACAUAAUCUCUCACUUAUUUUCAGAUCAAUCUAAACAACUGACCCGUUGUAUGCUUGUGGACUGACAUUUAUAAUGUAUACUAUCUGUACUAGGUAGCUUAAUUAAUUACAAAAUUUACAUUGUCUUCCCCAUUUUUUGAAAUGUAGUGAAGUGUUGUAAUAAAUUGCAGAAAUGUAGUAAGUGCUAUUCUAAACUGAAUUGCUUUAUGUCAAAUUGUGAAGCUAUUUGCUUCAUUAUUAUAUGUUCUUACAUGUGUUAAUUAUUAAUUACUUUGAAGGUCUGAAACACUUAGUCUUAAGUGACAUAUGAGUAGUUCUUUUCAAAGCUCAAGCACAUGGGUGCUUUUGGCUUGACAUGGGUGGGGUCUGCAUUAUUAUCACUAGUUGAACUUAUUUCUGUUUCCCUUAUCUCUUUGAUUAUUGAUUUCUAUAGUUUGUUUAAGAAGAAAAAAAAAAAAAAAGGUUCAUUUUACUGUUGAAGAGUCAUUGGACCAGUGUGUUCAUGAUAUAGUAAUGGGCCCAUACCUGGCCCGUAUUGUAUUAUAUUUUGGCAGCUGGAGUAAAUCAUUUGUAAUUUUCUAAGCCCUGAGCCUUUUUGAAUGUUUGGGAUGUUUAUUUUUUGUUGUAGAAUUGAGGGUGGGAAGCUUUUAUCUCAAUAUUGAGGGUUAAGUAUUUUCCUUUUUAAAAUUUGGUUUCAAUCCUAUUUUUAAUAUACUACUAUUGAAACAAAUUUACUAGUCCCAUAAACUUGUUGAAUUUAUUAUUUUUGUUAAAUUUAAUUUUUACAAUAGUGAAUCUAUCAGGAUUUUAAGCCAUUGGAUGGUAAUAAAAGUUACUACCCGGUCAUUUGCCUAUCCAUGUUUAGAAAAUCAUGAAGACACUUGUUAGUUUUGUUUUUCAUCUUAAUGUCCUUGGAACUUGCAUGUCAUCCAUAAUUUGUGUUCAAUUGCUCCAAUUUAGUGGAACCUGCAUGAUAUCUUACCAAGAACACUGAUUCCCUUGGAACAUUAAUUUAAAUUUCUCAUCUGGUGGAUUGUAUUCCUUUUAUAUAAUAAAUCAGAAAUUCUAUGAAGCCUUUGAAUUUUCUGUUUACUCUAUUAAUUAUCUGUUAAUCUAGGUCUUAACGCUUUAGACAACUUCCCUUGUUUAUUAUCUGCUGAAAUAAGCUAGUGGUUUUUUUUUUUUUUCUUUCCAGUAACUGUUUUUGGUUUUCUUUUUACUUCUGAUUUCUACAUGGUUAUUCUUUGAUCCCUCAUGGAACAUAUAUCACAUACAUAUAGAUAUAUUUUCAUAUACAUGUGUAGAUACAUAUACACAUACACAUAUAUGCACAAGUGUAUAUAUAUUAUUUUGGUUUGUUUGUUUGAUAACAUGGUAUCUGGCCCACUAACUAAUCCAGGAGGCCCCAUUAAAGCCAAGGCAAAGCCCCGUAUGGACUUGCCCCAACGAAUUAUUUGCACCUAGGAAGUUUCGAACCUGAAACCUUGGAGGGUGUCAACCCCUUGGGGUUAUACACACAGUUAUAAGUGUAUUGAGUGUAUAUACACGACUACAAGUGUAUAUGUGAAAUAGAAUUAGAGCAACAUAUACACAGGUAUAUACACACAUAAACUUCCACAUUAUCAAUGUAAAUGCUAAUAUGGUUAAGUGAAAUAAAAUUAGAAUAACAAAUAUUGAAAUCACUUUAGCUCUAUGGCUUCUGAUGACAGUACUGGUAAAUUCUAUGCAAUUUUGGUCAUAGAAUUGGGAUGAAAUAGAUGUCUUUGCAUAUUUCAAGUUCUAAUAAUAAUAUAAAAGUUACAAAUCAACAUAAACAUUGGUGUGUUCCUGAAAACAAAUGCAUCUCAUCAUAAAUUCAAAAAAAAAAAAAAAAAAAUGCUAUGUUGACUAUUUUCUUUUACCAAUUGCAUUUUAUAUCUGAUGUGACAUACUCCACUGUUGUUAAUACAAUAGGUCCCAUAGACAUAUCACUGAUAUCUAAAGAUUAUGGAGUGUGCCACAUCGAAAUCUAAAUGGAAAUGGUCAAAACAGUUGAUAAGCAUAGCAAUACUCAAAUUGAAUUAACAGAUUGACAAGUUGCUACAACAUUGAGAAAAUGAUUGAUGAACUGCUGGAGCAUUGAUAAAAUGAUUGAAGAUCUUAAAAUGGAUAUCUACAUAUUGAAAACUUUCUUUUCUCAUAUAAAUUAGAUUGCAUCUUUUCUCUUUUUUAAUGUUAUUAUUUUACUUUAAUAAUGGGAUGAGCUAAAAAGUAGAGCUAUGUUCAUCUUGUUCUACUCUCUUUCCUCAUAGUAAAUUUCUUCCCUCAGUCUUCAAAUGGAAUUCUUUUGUCUUCUUUUAUGGGUUUCUAAAUUAUAUUAUUAUUAGAUCAUCAAACACCUAGCAAACCAAACUAUGCAUUUUGGGAGAGAUGGCUUUUGCUUGAAUGACCGAUACACCAAUUUGUUCUUUGGAAGGUUGUGAGUAACUUGCAAAAUGCAGUUAAGGAUUAUGAUAUUGUUGUGAAUAGGUUUCUUUCUAUUAAAAUACAUGAGUUGUUUGAAGAGCUCAUUAACAUUGAGUCCGGCAAAGAAAGUAGAAAUAUAACAACUUGUUGUAACUUCUCAUCAAUGAAUAAUGUGGUCUAUAUACUUUUUUCCUAUGAAUAUUUUGUUCACAUUCCAUUUACACUUGUCAUACAUACUUGGGGCAAACUAACAGCUAUGUGACCCUCACAUCCCAUUUAGCAUCUUGGUACUACCAAUGGAGGUUGGCAGACACAGUUGGGAAGAGGGAAAUUGAGGCUUAUCAAAUUGUGAAUAAUUUUUUUCAGCUGAUCUUUCAAAGGUAUCCACGGUCUGAGGAGUACCAGUCCUUCUCUCUUAUAUAUAACGACAGGUCACUGGAUUUGAUUUGUAAAGAUAAAUAUGACACUGAGCAAUGGUUUAUUGGUUUAAAAGCAUUAAUUUCACGUGGCCAUCAACGAAAGUGGAGAACAGAAUCAAGGAGUGAUGGUAUUCCAUCUGAAGCUAAUAGUCCCCGAACAUACACUCGAAGAAGUUCUCCUUUGAACUCUCCAUUUGGUAGUGGUGAUAGCUUGCAGAAGGUUUCUUUUAUAAGACAAAACAUCAAAUAAUUUCGAGUGCUGCUGACCAACUGUCAAAGCCUCCUUGUGAAAUCUAAAAUAAUUAUUUCGAUCUAGGAGAAGGAAGGAAUCAAGCAAUUUCAAGUUUACAAGAAUAAGGUUCAAGAGCUUCACAAGUCUUUUAUAGAAGAAGCCAUUAGUUUUUGAGGACUUUGAUGAAUAGAUUUCUAUAAUUUUUGAAUAGUUUUGGGUAAUGUUUACAAACUUAUAUAUGUACAGUUUUGGAUGAUUUAUAACUUUUUUUGAUAAUUUAUAACUUAAGGAUAGUCCUUUUGGAUGUUUGGAAUGUAUAUAUUGACAAUUUUUGAAUGUUUAUAAUUUAUAGAUAUAGUUUAUUUUUAAUGGUUGAAAUAA
Molecule: RNA transcript, 5728 nt
Organism: Camellia sinensis
Lineage: Eukaryota; Viridiplantae; Streptophyta; Magnoliopsida; Ericales; Theaceae
Source: RefSeq, a predicted model, not a curated record